Long non-coding RNA from Phasianus colchicus (ring-necked pheasant), 1104 nucleotides. RefSeq lists it as uncharacterized. The record is from RefSeq and is a predicted model, not a curated record. Lineage: Eukaryota; Metazoa; Chordata; Aves; Galliformes; Phasianidae.
CUUGCAGAACGGUGGCGGCUUUGACGGGGUUGGUGGUCAGCGCUUCAAAAACAUUGGGGUAAGAACUGAGGCACUCUCUGGGGUAAUUGAGGAUGAGUCUGGGGAAAGAAGUCCAUUCUCUUCUCUGUGCGGAGUAAAGAUUGGCCCUUAACUUCUUGGACAUUUGUCAUUGUCAAAAGUCUCACUAAACGUAGAUUCAUUUCUUCCUCUUGCACUGGUGCCCCCCGUACUAUGCUACUCCUCAAGAAAAGAGUAGUUCUUUCUUCACAGUUGGAUUUCCAAGCCAUUCCAAUUUGUUCUAGUUGCCAUAAAGCCCUUUACAGAAUCCUUCCAGGAAGUUUUCCUCAGUGCUAUCUGCAGUCUGCUUUUAGUGUAGGAGAGGAGCGUUGACUUCUGCCCCUUCACUUUGCUUGUUCUGAGGAUACAGGAAACUGGGAGGUGAUAGGAGCUGAGAGAACUGAAGUGUACUUAUUUGUACAAAAUUCAUGCAGUGGCUGCGUCAGGGAGGCUUCAGGAAAAUAUGCCUGAUACUGGAGGUCCUGGAAGAUUCUUGGAAGUUGGUCUUAGUGUAGAAUGGAGGAGGCAAUUAUCUGAGACAAAGCCUGGAACAUUGAAAGCAUAGUAGGAAUUGUGAGGUUGUGAGAUGUGGGACAAACUCCAAAACAGUGGGACAUGAGGAAAGAGGAAGGAGGAGUACUGUGAGAUACUGCAAACUCAGAAAUACAUGAAGAUGAGGACGUAGCUGUACAACAGCCCAAAGCAGAACAAUUUGGGAUCACUGAAAAAGGAGAAUGAAGAGAUGGGAAGAAUUGCAGUGAAAGAGGAACACAAAUUAUUAUGUCUCAGGUUGGCUUCGAACCCACUGUCGUCUAUAAUCCCCAGGGUGCCCUAGGGAACCCUAUCAGCUUUGAUGGGAAUCAAGUUGGCUGGACAGAACUUCAGUCAUAAUGGCAACAGCUUCGAGACACCAGUCGUCUAUGACUCCUGAAUAUUUUCCAUCUGAUUUCAAUCUAUAAUCCUAAAUCUACCCUGAUGAUGAAGAAUUUCGCUUAGAAAUGCAGAGAUCCUAUGUCCUUUCCCUGGUGCAAUGCAAAUAAACCUGAA